RNAcentral lists this ribosomal RNA (253 nucleotides) under uncultured bacterium. Its description in RNAcentral is "partial 16S ribosomal RNA". It matches the Rfam family "Bacterial small subunit ribosomal RNA", at positions 524 to 776 of the family's 1533-position model. The record is from RNAcentral.
UACGUAGGUGGCAAGCGUUGUCCGGAUUUACUGGGCGUAAAGCGCGCGCAGGCGGUCCUUUAAGUCUGAUGUGAAAGCCCACGGCUCGACCGUGGAGGGUCAUUGGAAACUGGGGGACUUGAGUGCAGGAGAGAAGAGUGGAAUUCCACGUGUAGCGGUGAAAUGCGUAGAUAUCUGGAGGAACACCGGUGGCGAAGGCGGCGUCCUGGACCAAUACUGACACUGAUGAGCGAAAGCCAGGGGAGCAAACGGG